RNAcentral lists this ribosomal RNA (838 nucleotides) under uncultured Thermoproteales archaeon. RNAcentral's name for it is "bacterial SSU rRNA". It matches the Rfam family "Archaeal small subunit ribosomal RNA", at positions 85 to 879 of the family's 1478-position model. The record is from RNAcentral. Lineage: Archaea; Thermoproteati; Thermoproteota; Thermoprotei; Thermoproteales.
ACKGCUCAGUAACACGUGGUCAAUCUACCCUGAGGACGGGGAUACCUCCGGGAAAACCAGGUUUCUUUUCCUGGUCCCGAAACUGGAGUCAAUACCCGAUAGGUGAAGAACUCUGGAAUGAGUCUCCGCUCAAAAGACGCUUACGCCAUGCUUGUAGGCGUUGCCCAAGGAUGGGGCCGCGACCGAUCAGGUUGUUGGUGAGGUAACGGCUCACCAAGCCUUUAACCGGUACGGGCCGUGAGAGCGGGAGCCCGGAGAUGGGCACUGAGACAAGGGCCCAGGUCCUACGGGGCGCAGCAGUCGCGCAAACUUUGCAAUACACGAAAGUGUGACAGGGCUAUCCCGAGUGCCGCCCGCUGAGGGUGGCUUUUACCCAGUUUAGCAAGCUGGGAGAAUAAGGAGAGGGCAAGUCUGGUGUCAGCCGCCGCGGUAAUACCAGCUCUCCGAGUGGUGUGGAUGUUUAUUGGGCCUAAAGCAUCCGUAGCUUGCUGAGCCAGUCCCCUGUUAAAUCCAACGAAUUAAUCGUUGGUGUGCGGGGGAUACUGCUUGGCUAGGGGACGAGAGAGGCAGACGGUAUUCCCGGGGUAGGGGUGAAAUCCUAUAAUCCCGGGAGGACCACCAGUGGCGAAGGCUGUCGGCUAGAACGCGCCCGACGGUGAGGGAUGAAAGCUGGGGGAGCGAACCGGAUUAGAUACCCGGGUAGUCCCAGCUGUAAACGAUGCAGGCUAGGUGUUAGGGCGGCUACGUGCCGCUCUAGUGCCGCAGGGAAGCUGUUAAGCCUGCCGCCUGGGGAGUACGGCCGCAAGGCUGAAACUUAAAGGAAUUGGCGGGGGAGCAC